CAGUAUUUAAGCUCGUCUCCGCCAGCUGGUCCCUGCCGGGUAUUGUUCCCUGAACCCCGCACCUACAUGUGCCUACUUCGACUCACCUGUCCUGGGUCGCAUUUUACUGCGUGGAUUGUUCUCCCAAGAUGCAGACGGAAACUCCGGAGGCAAUGUGCAGAUUUUUUUUACAAAGCUGCCGUCUAUGAAGUGGUGAGCAUAUAGAAAAGGUGGACAUAUGUUGCUCAGAGGUGCCAGACGUCCGUGUAGAAGAAGGUUUUUCAUCAAUGAUGUCAUGAAAACCCAGAACUUCAAAAGCGACCUCCCAUUAGGUGUUGUGGAGGGUGGCGUGGCCUGUGGGCCUGCAGCGAAGCAGGGUGUGGCAGCGAAAUCAGCAUCAGGUGCAUAGAUGGCCCACCUGGGCCUGGUUAUCUGAUCACCUGUUGCUCUUUUAUAAGCAACAGCCAGGAGGAGAGACAGGGUGGAGUGGGAGUUGAAGCUGGUGGAGAGCGAGAGCAAGACGGACAGUCACGAAAAGACGAGUGCUGAAAAGCA
Long non-coding RNA from Nerophis ophidion (straightnose pipefish), 534 nucleotides. RefSeq lists it as uncharacterized. The record is from RefSeq and is a predicted model, not a curated record. NCBI's taxonomy places the organism in Eukaryota, Metazoa, Chordata, Actinopteri, Syngnathiformes, Syngnathidae. The transcript has 4 exons.